This 255-nucleotide ribosomal RNA is filed under the name uncultured bacterium. RNAcentral's name for it is "partial 16S ribosomal RNA". It matches the Rfam family "Bacterial small subunit ribosomal RNA", at positions 524 to 778 of the family's 1533-position model. The record is from RNAcentral.
UACAGAGGUCUCAAGCGUUGUUCGGAAUCACUGGGCGUAAAGGGUGCGUAGGCGGCGGAGUAAGUCGGAUGUGAAAUUUGGAGGCUCAACCUCCAACUUGCAUCUGAUACUGCUUCGCUAGAGACCUGGAGAGGAGUUUGGAAUUCUCGGUGUAGCAGUGAAAUGCGUAGAUUUCGAGAAGAACGCUCGCAGCGAAAGCGAAACUCUGGACAGCGUCUGACGCUGAGGCACGAAGGCUAGGGGAGCAAAGCGGGA